AGUCUCUGUUUCUCCCAGUCCUGUGGCACUACUGCACACAAGCACCAUUGGCCUUCUAAACCAAAUGCUCUGGGGGCUCCUCCUUUCAAUGCCAGACUCCUAGAUUGGUGAAACUGACGUGGGGCUCAGAACUUAUACCUGUGGGAGAAUCUCUGUGAUACAAUUUUUUCUAGCUUGUGGGUUGUCCACCCCGUGGGUAUAGGCUUUGAUUAUAUCAUGAAAGCAUCCCUCCUACUGUCUCAUUGUGGCUUCUUCUUUGUCUUUGGAUAUAGAAAGUCUUUUUUGGUAGGUUCCAGUCUUUUUUGUCAACAGUUCUUCAGCAGUUAGUUGUAAUUUUUGAUACUUUUGUGAGAGGAAGUAAGCUUAAGUCCUUCUACCCUGCCAUAUUUUCUUUUCCCCUCCUGGCUUCCAAUCUUGAACCUCUUUACAUAUAUCCUUCAUCCAGUAGUCAAAAUAAUAUUUCUAAAACCUAUACUGGGCCAUGUCCCUCUGGCUUUGGCCUUCAGUGGCUUUCCUUGGACUUAGAAUGGAAUCCAGACUCCUGCCACUUGCCCCUUUGCUCACUUGUUCAGCCACAUUGUUUUUCUGUCAGGUCUUUGAGUACCAUGCACAUAGAUCCUUUACCUGAAAUGCUUUUUACUCCUACUCCCUUUCAGUAAGUCUUUCCAUAUUUUUCCCCAUUACAAUAUCUAUUACAGAUUGGAAACAUAUAUUUGUGUGUUUGGUACUUUCUCCCUGCUAGUCUUCUCCUGAAUUUAUCUAUUUUAAACUUUGUAAGGGGCUGAGAUUACAGUUGUUUACCUAGAACCUAGUCCAACACUUGUCACACAGAGACUGUAGGCAAAUAUUUAUUGAAUAAAUUUUAAUUAAAGGAAACGCACCAGUGAGUGAGAUCCGAACUUUCAAGAAAUCAACCCAUUAUAAAGAGUAAGUUACUUAAAUUACAUUGCUUUGUACAGAUAUUAUUCUCUAGUUCUUUUGUGCUUAAGGUUGUAGGCCCAGAGAGUAGAAUAUUUACUGGAAUAUUUACUGAAGUCGUUGCCUUCAGAAAUACUUCUGUGUUCCUUCCAAAAUCUAAUAUGUUAAUUAACAAAUAGAAGAGCACCAUCUAAUAAAUAUGACUGACUGUUGACUGUAUGUGUCACCAAUAGAGUAAGAGAUGCUAAAAUCAUUCUUCAUACAUUCUAGUAAGCAGGUCCCCAAUUGCUCAGCAGUCAAUCUAAAAGCGACCCUUACACACUGAAGUUCCCUUCUUUAACCAGUUUUUUUCAACUUCCUUCCAACAAUGGAAACUUUGGGUGCUCUUAAGAUGCUGCUUGAGGGAGGAGAUGGCCAGUUCCUCUCUCUUUGUAAAGUCAAAGUUAGAAAUCACCAUUAUUUCAUGACGAAUAUGUGCCAGUGCUGAAGUUUUAGAAAUGGCUGGCAAAGCCCCUGCCUGUUAGAAGAAGUCUUGUGUCUGGUGACUUGGUGUCCUAGCUCUACACAUGCUAUAGUUCAGCGCCAUUAUUCAUUAUGUAGGAUUUUGUGGACUUAUUAGAAAUCUAACAGCCUUUCAUGAUAUUGCUUUAAAGAAGGAGUGCAACCAGAGUGACAGAUGAUACACCUCCAUUGAAAAUUUCAAAACUUAGUUCAUCCACAAAAUAAGAUUGAAUUUCACUUUUUUUAUUCUCUGGAGAGAAUCAGAAAAUAAUUUUUUUAGAGUUUCUGGACCCAUUUCUUACUUAGCCAAGAACACAUUUAUAUUUUCUAAAUUUUUUAUAAUGAAUAUAUCCUUUUUUAUAAAGAGAAAAAAUAACUUUAGAAGAAAGGCGAGGGAUUGCAAUGGCAUAAGCAUUAAUAAGUGACAUAAGGAUGCAUCAUGGUAGAGGCGAGGCAGGAAAUGUGCACAUUGCUGGAAAUCACCCACACAUGAUGCUGUCAGUCUUUGGUGGAGCCUCAGCCUGAAGAGAAAUGGAUAGAGCAGAAUUGAAACACAGGCUUUACACUGAUGUGAUCUCUUGAGACUCAGCUUUAACCUUUCCCUUUGGAAAAUAGGUCUAACUCUUGAAAGCAUAUUCUAGUCUCCAUUUGACAGUGCAGAAGAUGGUCAGAGAAGGUGUAUGCAAUCAGGCUUUGGAACAUUCAGAUUGUUGUGUUGAAACUAACCUGGGUCCCCAUUUUUUCUCCUCAUUUCUUUUCUGCCAUUAGGGCUGCUGAAGUACAGAGGCUGCCAUUUUAUACUAAGCUUCUCCUAUUUUCAUCAUUUGCUCUAGUAAUAGUUUUCUUUUUUUUUUUUGCUAUUUCUUUGGGCUGCUCCCGCGGCAUAUGGAGGUUCCCAGGCUAGGGGUCUAAUCGGAGCUACAGUUGCCAGCCUAUGCCACAGCCACAGCAAUGCCAGAUCUGAACCGUGUCUGUGAUCUACACCAUGGCUCACGGCAACACCAGAUCCUCAAACCCAAGGAUUGAACCCGCAACCUUGUGGUUCCUAGUCAGAUUCAUUUCCGCUGAGCCACGACAGGAACUCCACGAAGUAAUUUCUUUUUAGCCCUUGAAUCCCACUGGCAGUGUGAUGUAGCCCUCACCAUUUUGGUUGGGAACUCAGGAGAGCAAGAGGUGGGGGUGGAGAUGUUAGAGGAAAGUGAACAAAGGUCAAAUAGGAGUGAAGUAAAUUUAGUCUAAUUCUAAGCUGGCACUGGAGGCCCUAAGAGAGUUUCUUUUGGGAGGACUAUCAAAAUGGGAUGAUUUUAAAUUAUGGACUAGAGAUGGUGAGGGAACCAGGCAAAGCAGGGUUAUGGUAGAAAGCCUGUGUCAAAAUAAGGGGAAGGUGUUCCCUUAGUGGCUCAGUGGUUAACAAAUCCAACAAUGAUCCAUGGGAUGUGGGUUCAAUCCCUGGCCUCGCUCACUGAAUUAAGUAUCUGGUAUUGCCAUGAGCUGUGGUGUAGACCAGCAGCUAGAGCUCUGAUUCCACCCCUAGCAUGGGAACCUCCAUA
Molecule: long non-coding RNA, 2969 nt
Filed under: Sus scrofa (pig)
Lineage: Eukaryota; Metazoa; Chordata; Mammalia; Artiodactyla; Suidae
Description: lncRNA (ENSSSCG00000061584.1)
Source: RNAcentral